Molecule: ribosomal RNA, 120 nt
Filed under: Nitrososphaerales archaeon
Lineage: Archaea; Thermoproteati; Nitrososphaerota; Nitrososphaeria; Nitrososphaerales
Source: RNAcentral
AUAGCCGGCCAUAGCGACGGGGUCCGACCUGGUCCCAUUUCGAACCCAGAAGUCAAACCCGUCGUCGCCGUCGUGUUAGUGAGGUGCGAGAGCCCUUGCGAAGCGGCGGUGCCGGCGCCU